AGUGAACGCUGGCGGUAGGCCUAACACAUGCAAGUCGAACGGCAGCACAGUAAGAGCUUGCUCUUACGGGUGGCGAGUGGCGGACGGGUGAGGAAUACAUCGGAAUCUAUUUUUUCGUGGGGGAUAACGUAGGGAAACUUACGCUAAUACCGCAUACGACCUACGGGUGAAAGCAGGGGAUCUUCGGACCUUGCGCGAUUGAAUGAGCCGAUGUCGGAUUAGCUAGUUGGCGGGGUAAAGGCCCACCAAGGCGACGAUCCGUAGCUGGUCUGGGAGGAUGAUCAGCCACACUGGAACUGAGACACGGUCCAGACUCCUACGGGAGGCAGCAGUGGGGAAUAUUGGACAAUGGGCGCAAGCCUGAUCCAGCCAUACCGCGUGGGUGAAGAAGGCCUUCGGGUUGUAAAGCCCUUUUGUUGGGAAAGAAAAGCAGCAGGUUAAUACCCCGCUGUUCUGACGGUACCCAAAGAAUAAGCACCGGCUAACUUCGUG
Molecule: ribosomal RNA, 492 nt
Filed under: uncultured bacterium
Lineage: Bacteria
Description: partial 16S ribosomal RNA
Rfam family: Bacterial small subunit ribosomal RNA
Source: RNAcentral